Sinocyclocheilus grahami is the source of this 1319-nucleotide long non-coding RNA. RefSeq lists it as uncharacterized. The record is from RefSeq and is a predicted model, not a curated record. The transcript is spliced from 3 exons. Lineage: Eukaryota; Metazoa; Chordata; Actinopteri; Cypriniformes; Cyprinidae.
CGGAAGAAGAAGAAAAAUAAAAUGACAGCCGCAGUCGGCGCCGGCGCCUACACCAGUUCUUGUUGCCGAUCUACUAAAAAUGCUUUUUUUAAGGCGCUCUUUCGCAGACAAAAGAGGAAUAACUGAGAAAGGAAGACCUACCCCCAAACUGAAUGAGCUAACAAAGGUUUUGUGCGCUAUUUCAAAGAUUACAACUAUGAAUGGCUAACAGCUAGCACCAAGCACAAGAAGUUAUUUGGCCAUGUUUACUUUUUAAUACGAGUAAAGGGACAUGGAAUGACAGACGCAUGGACUUUCUUUACAAGUGACAGGUGGAUGACAGCAUGACGGUGAAAGUGAGCAUUGCUGCAAGAGUGUGGCAUGAAAUGAGAGCUGCUGGAUGCUGACCAUCUCCCUCAGCUGUGUCUUUAGGUGUGGGACCUAAACUCAAGACUGUGCAACUGAGGCUACAAGCAGGCAUCAGCCAGUACAGUAAAACUGGCGCAUAAUCCGGCAGAGUGCUGCAUGGAGCUCUCAGCCAGUCCUCAUUAACCUGCCGUAUCCUCAACUCAGACCUGUGUGGAUGACAUCCUUUGAGGAGCCAGGAGUGUGAGCUCAUUAAACAAGCCCACACACACUGCCUACCUCGGGUCAAGAGUAUCUACUGUAGCCACCCUCUCUGUUCCCCUGGCUGACUGAUGCCGUUAAGAUGUCAAAGCGUUUCACGUAAAGCCCUCCACUUUAGUGACGAUGAGUUGGCCAGGUGAGAGGAGAAGAGCACAGGACAGCCGCGCUAAGAAGGUCACCAAUUUCAAAAAAAAUUUUUUCAAGUAGACUAAUUUCCAUGACUGAAAAACAUUAGGUUUACUCUCCUCACAUUUUUCAACUUAUAGGCCUGAUGGAAAUUCAGGCCUACUGUAUUUAGGCAUAAAUAACAGGAAAUUCAGGCCUACUGUAUGUGAGGAAAAAUGCGUUAGGAAACGUUCAAAUUAAAUGAGCCCUUGAGAGUAAUCUUUUACAUACAAUUCUUUUAUCAAGUUGGCUUGAAAUAUGCUUUGCGCUGUUGCCAUUUUCUUUGUUUUGGCUCUAUGCAGUGGUUUUUCUAAAGGGUCAAUGACAUUCUGUGCCCUUUCCAGUUUACAGUCUGAUUAUGUCACAUCAGCUUGUGAAAGCCCACUGAUGUCAGUGGUGCCGUAAAAAAACAACUGGCUUCUUUGAAAUUUUUAAAUUGUGGACUCUGAAUGAACAUUGUUGCUAGGCACUCCAGUAACCUUGUCCCGUUUAAUCUCUUUUUUUUUAUAAUCUGUAAAAUCAUGGGUUUUACAAACAAAAAUAAUUUU